AUACGAAGGGUGCAAGCGUUGUUCGGAUUUACUGGGCGUAAAGCGUCCGUAGGUGGUUUGUUAAGUCAGGGGUGAAAUCCCGGGGCCUAACCCCGGAACUGCCUUUGAUACUGGCAGGCUGGAGCGCGAUAGAGGAAGAUGGAAUAUCUGGUGUAGGGGUGAAAUCCGUAGAUAUCAGAUAGAACACCAAUGGCGAAGGCAGUCUUCUGGAUCGUUGCUGACACUGAGGGACGAAAGCGUGGGUAGCAAACAGAAUUAGAUACUCUGGUAGUCCACGCCCUAAACGAUGCAUGCUUGUUGUUGGUUUCCUUCGGGGAAUCAGUGACGAAGCUAACGCGUUAAGCAUGCCGCCUGGGGACUACGAUCGCAAGAUUAAAACUUAAAGGAAUUGACGGGG
Molecule: ribosomal RNA, 397 nt
Filed under: uncultured bacterium
Lineage: Bacteria
Description: partial 16S ribosomal RNA
Rfam family: Bacterial small subunit ribosomal RNA
Source: RNAcentral